This 731-nucleotide small RNA is filed under the name Pan troglodytes (chimpanzee). RNAcentral describes it as "processed transcript". The record is from RNAcentral. Lineage: Eukaryota; Metazoa; Chordata; Mammalia; Primates; Hominidae.
GUGUGUAUAGACCAUCGAUGCCAGCGUGUGGAUCUCCUGGGGGCACAGGAAUGUCGAAGCAAAUGCCAUGGACAUGGGGUCUGUGACAGCAACAGGCACUGCUACUGUGAGGAGGGCUGGGCACCCCCUGACUGCACCACUCAGCUCAAAGCAACCAGCUCCCUGACCACAGGGCUGCUCCUCAGCCUCCUGGUCUUAUUGGUCCUGGUGAUGCUUGGUGCCAGCUACUGGUACCGUGCCCGCCUGCACCAGCGACUCUGCCAGCUCAAGGGACCCACCUGCCAGUACAGUCUCAGGGGCCAGCCAAGCCCCCACCCCCAAGGAAGCCAUUGCCUGCCGACCCCCAGGGCCGGUGCCCAUCGGGUGACCUGCCCGGCCCAGGGGCUGGAAUCCCGCCCCUAGUGGUACCCUCCAGACCAGCGCCACCGCCCCCGACAGUGUCCUCGCUCUACCUCUGACCUCUCCGGAGGUUCCGCUGCCUCCAAGCCGGACUUAGGGCUUCAAGAGGCGGGCGUGCCCUCUGGAGUCCCCUACCAUGACUGAAGGCGCCAGAGACUGGCGGUGUCUUAAGGCUCCGGGCACCGCCACGCGCUGUCAAGCAACACUCUGCGGACCUGCCGGCGUAGUUGCAGCGGGGGCUUGGGGAGGGGCUGGGGGUUGGACGGGAUUGAGGAAGGUCCGCACAGCCUGUCUCUGCUCAGCUGCAAUAAACGUGACAUCUUGGGAGCGUU